UAGGGAAUCUUCGGCAAUGGACGAAAGUCUGACCGAGCAACGCCGCGUGAGUGAAGAAGGUUUUCGGAUCGUAAAACUCUGUUGGUAGAGAAGAAUGACAUUGAGAGUAACUGUUCAAUGUGUGACGGUAUCUUACCAGAAAGGGACGGCUAACUACGUGCCAG
RNAcentral lists this ribosomal RNA (164 nucleotides) under uncultured bacterium. RNAcentral's name for it is "partial 16S rRNA". It matches the Rfam family "Bacterial small subunit ribosomal RNA", at positions 355 to 511 of the family's 1533-position model. The record is from RNAcentral.